Molecule: transfer RNA, 73 nt
Filed under: Streptomyces spectabilis
Lineage: Bacteria; Bacillati; Actinomycetota; Actinomycetes; Kitasatosporales; Streptomycetaceae
Description: tRNA-Ala
Rfam family: tRNA
About the family: Transfer RNA (tRNA) molecules are approximately 80 nucleotides in length.
Source: RNAcentral
GGGCCCUGUGGUGUAAUCCGGUAACACGCUUCCUUUGCAAGGAAGAGACGCGGUUCAAAUCCGACAGGGUCCA